This 521-nucleotide ribosomal RNA is filed under the name uncultured bacterium. RNAcentral's name for it is "bacterial SSU rRNA". It matches the Rfam family "Archaeal small subunit ribosomal RNA", at positions 345 to 866 of the family's 1478-position model. The record is from RNAcentral.
AACCUCCGCAAUGUGAGAAAUCGCGACGGGGGGAUCCCAAGUGCCAUUCUUAACGGGAUGGCUUUUCAUUAGUGUAAAGAGCUUUUGGAAUAAGAGCUGGGCAAGACCGGUGCCAGCCGCCGCGGUAACACCGGCAGCUCUAGUGGUAGCUGUUUUUAUUGGGCCUAAAGCGUUCGUAGCCGGUUUGAUAAGUCACUGGUGAAAUCCUGUAGCUUAACUGUGGGAAUUGCUGGUGAUACUGUUGAACUUGAGGUCGGGAGAGGUUAGCGGUACUCCCAGGGUAGAGGUGAAAUUCUGUAAUCCUGGGAGGACCACCUGUGGCGAAGGCGGCUAACUGGAACGAACCUGACGGUGAGGGACGAAAGCUAGGGGCGCGAACCGGAUUAGAUACCCGGGUAGUCCUAGCCGUAAACGAUGCGGACUUGGUGUUGGGAUGGCUUUGAGCCGCUCCGGUGCCGAAGGGAAGCUGUUAAGUCCGCCGCCUGGGAAGUACGGUCGCAAGACUGAAACUUAAAGGAAUU